AGAGUUUGAUCCUGGCUCAGGACGAACGCUGGCGGCGUGCUUAACACAUGCAAGUGGAGCGACGAACCAGGGCUUGCCCUGGGGCAAAGCCGCGAACGGGUGAGUAACACGUGGGUCACCUGCCUCGAUGACCGGGACAACCCGAGGAAACUCGGGCUAAUACCGGAUGUGCCCGCAAGGGGAAAGGAAGCUUCGGCCUCCGCAUCGAGAUGGGCCCGCGGCCCAUUAGCUUGUUGGUGAGGUAACGGCUCACCAAGGCUCCGAUGGGUAGCUGGUCUGAGAGGACGAUCAGCCACACUGGGACUGAGACACGGCCCAGACUCCUACGGGAGGCAGCAGUGGGGAAUCUUGCGCAAUGCGCGAAAGCGUGACGCAGCAACGCCGCGUGGGGGAAGAAGGCUUUCGGGUUGUAAACCCCUUUCAGUUGGGACGAAGCUUCACCGGUGAACAGCCGGUCGGAGUGACGGUACCUUCACAAGAAGCACCGGCUAACUACGUGCCAGCAGCCGCGGUAAUACGUAGGGUGCGAGCGUUGUCCGGAAUUAUUGGGCGUAAAGAGCGUGUAGGCGGCCUCGUUAGUCCGCUGUGAAAGUCCAGGGCUCAACCCUGGAAUGCCGGUGGAUACUGCGAGGCUAGAGUCCGGAAGGGGCGAGUGGAAUUCCUGGUGUAGCGGUGAAAUGCGCAGAUAUCAGGAGGAACACCAAUGGCGAAGGCAGCUCGCUGGGACGUGACUGACGCUGAGACGCGAAAGCGUGGGGAGCAAACAGGAUUAGAUACCCCGGUAGUCC
RNAcentral lists this ribosomal RNA (788 nucleotides) under uncultured bacterium. RNAcentral's name for it is "bacterial SSU rRNA". It matches the Rfam family "Bacterial small subunit ribosomal RNA", at positions 8 to 796 of the family's 1533-position model. The record is from RNAcentral.